Populus euphratica (Euphrates poplar) is the source of this 604-nucleotide long non-coding RNA. RefSeq lists it as uncharacterized. The transcript has 2 exons. NCBI's taxonomy places the organism in Eukaryota, Viridiplantae, Streptophyta, Magnoliopsida, Malpighiales, Salicaceae. The record is from RefSeq and is a predicted model, not a curated record.
UUUUUUUAGGUUUUUUGUUUUUGUUUUUUUUGUCUUUAAAUUUAUGUUUUUGUUUUUAAUUCGAUGAUUAACUAUUUAAACGGGACAAUAUUCCUUGAGAGCAAGCACAAAGAUUUUCGAUUCCCCUUGGCCCAUCCUUCACUCUUCCUUUGUUUGGUGGGUUUAGAAAUUGCUGAUUUUUUUCCUUGUAAUUAACCAUUCCUUUUUGUAGUUAGUUUGAAGCCAUGGAUGAUAGAACAGCCAGACAACCUAAUAACCUGUGGAAAUAUUGAUAUUUUGAAGCGAUGGUUACAAGUAUGAAGGCCAUUCUCGCUAGAAUGAAUUUCUGCCAUUGCAUAUCAUUGGUUUGUUUGCUUUGAAAAAAAUCAAAAAGAAAGAAAGGGAGGAGCACCUCUAAAUUCAUCAUCCAUAAGCAUGGCUUCCAAUGCUUCGAUUCCCAUUCAAGGUCGAUAAUUUUAAUCUCCUUCUGUCUCUCCCUUCCUCCAGGUCGCGGUUGCAAUUUUUUUUCUUUGUAAUAGAAGAUUGAUGCCUCUGUACUCAACAAAGCCAAAACCCACGGACUGCCACCGCAACCCAUCUCCCUUGGCAAUUUUCAUCUCCCUCU